Molecule: ribosomal RNA, 497 nt
Filed under: uncultured bacterium
Lineage: Bacteria
Description: partial 16S ribosomal RNA
Rfam family: Bacterial small subunit ribosomal RNA
Source: RNAcentral
GAUGAACGCUGGCGGCGUGCCUAACACAUGCAAGUCGAGCGGAAGGACGAGGAGUUUGCUUGGCUGAUGUUAGGGGCGGACGGGUGAGUCACACGUGGAUACCCUACCUGUAUGUGUGGGAUCACUUCGGGAAAGCGGAUCUAACACCGGAUAAGAUUUUGAACCGCGGGGGUCAUAGGAGAAAGACGGCGUUGCUGGCACUACUAGAGGGUUCCCAGCUGUAUUGGCUAGUUGGUAGGGUAACGGCCUACCAAGGCUAGGAUGCGUGGCCGACCUGAGAGGGUGAUCGGCCACACUGGAACUGAGACACGGUCCAGACUCCUACGGGAGGCAGCAGUAGGGAAUGUUCGGCAAUGGGCGAAAGCCUGACGGAGCAACGCCGCGUGUGUGAUGAAGGUCUUCGGAUCGUAAAGCUCUGUUAUUGGGGAAGAACAGCUGUGUAAGUAGACGUGGACAUCUUGACGGUACCUAAUCAAAAAGCACCGGCUAACUACGUG